Molecule: ribosomal RNA, 339 nt
Filed under: Micropterus salmoides (largemouth bass)
Lineage: Eukaryota; Metazoa; Chordata; Actinopteri; Centrarchiformes; Centrarchidae
Description: partial 16S ribosomal RNA
Rfam family: Bacterial large subunit ribosomal RNA
Source: RNAcentral
UAGUAAUACCCAGGCAAAGAGAACUUUAGUCUGACCCCCCGAAACUAAGUGAGCUACUCCAAGGCAGCCUAUUAAUAGGGCACACCCGUCUCUGUGGCAAAAGAGUGGGAAGAACUUUGAGUAGGGGUGACAGACCUACCGAACCUAGUUAUAGCUGGUUGUCUGAGAAAUGAAUAGGAGUUCAGCCUCGCAGCUUCUUCACUCACCCCUGUCCUACUCCCUACAGACCUUUUAAGAAACCGCGAGAGUUAGUCAAAGGGGGUACAGCCCCUUUGAAAAAGAUACAACUUUCCCAGGUGGGUAAAGAUCAUAAUAACUUAAAGUAAAAUGCUUUGGUGG